AUUGAACGCUGGCGGCAUGCUUUACACAUGCAAGUCGAACGGUAACAGGCCGCAAGGUGCUGACGAGUGGCGAACGGGUGAGUAAUGCAUCGGAACGUGCCCAGUCGUGGGGGAUAACUACUCGAAAGAGUAGCUAAUACCGCAUACGAUCUAUGGAUGAAAGCGGGGGACCGUAAGGCCUCGCGCGAUUGGAGCGGCCGAUGUCAGAUUAGGUAGUUGGUGGGGUAAAGGCUCACCAAGCCAACGAUCUGUAGCUGGUCUGAGAGGACAACCAGCCACACUGGGACUGAGACACGGCCCAGACUCCUACGGGAGGCAGCAGUGGGGUAUUUUGGACAAUGGGCGCAAGCCUGAUCCAGCAAUGCCGCGUGCAGGAAGAAGGCCUUCGGGUUGUAAACUGCUUUUGUACGGAACGAAACGGCUCUGGUUAAUACCCGGGGCUAAUGACGGUACCGUAAGAAUAAGCACCGGCUAACUACGUG
This 482-nucleotide ribosomal RNA is filed under the name uncultured bacterium. RNAcentral's name for it is "partial 16S ribosomal RNA". It matches the Rfam family "Bacterial small subunit ribosomal RNA", at positions 30 to 507 of the family's 1533-position model. The record is from RNAcentral.